Molecule: ribosomal RNA, 857 nt
Filed under: uncultured beta proteobacterium
Lineage: Bacteria; Pseudomonadati; Pseudomonadota; Betaproteobacteria
Description: bacterial SSU rRNA
Rfam family: Bacterial small subunit ribosomal RNA
Source: RNAcentral
GACGGCAGCACGGGAGCAAUCCUGGUGGCGAGUGGCGAACGGGAGAGCAAUAUAUCGGAACGUGCCCAGUCGUGGGGGAUAACGCAGCGAAAGCUGUGCUAAUACCGCAUACGAUCUAUGGAUGAAAGCGGGGGACUCGUAAGGGCCUCGCGCGAUUGGAGCGGCCGAUAUCAGAUUAGCUAGUUGGUGGGGUAAAAGCCCACCAAGGCGACGAUCUGUAGCUGGUCUGAGAGGACGACCAGCCACACUGGAACUGAGACACGGUCCAGACUCCUACGGGAGGCAGCAGUGGGGAAUUUUGGACAAUGGGCGCAAGCCUGAUCCAGCAAUGCCGCGUGCAGGAUGAAGGCCUUCGGGUUGUAAACUGCUUUUGUACGGAACGAAACGGUGAGCUCUAAUAAAGUUUGCUAAUGACGGUACCGUAAGAAUAAGCACCGGCUAACUACGUGCCAGCAGCCGCGGUAAUACGUAGGGUGCAAGCGUUAAUCGGAAUUACUGGGCGUAAAGCGUGCGCAGGCGGUGAUGUAAGACAGAUGUGAAAUCCCCGGGCUCAACCUGGGACCUGCAUUUGUGACUGCAUCGCUAGAGUACGGUAGAGGGGGGAUGGAAUUCCGCGUGUAGCAGUGAAAUGCGUAGAUAUGCGGAGGAACACCGAUGGCGAAGGCAAUCCCCUGGACCUGUACUGACGCUCAUGCACGAAAGCGUGGGGAGCAAACAGGAUUAGAUACCCUGGUAGUCCACGCCCUAAACGAUGUCAACUGGUUGUUGGGUCUUCACUGACUCAGUAACGAAGCUAACGCGUGAAGUUGACCGCCUGGGAGUACGGCCGCAAGGUUGAAACUUAAAUGAAUUGACGG